CGUAGGGUGCGAGCGUUAAUCGGAAUUACUGGGCGUAAAGCGUGCGCAGGCGGUUUUGUAAGACAGAUGUGAAAUCCCCGGGCUCAACCUGGGACCUGCAUUUGUGACUGCAAGGCUAGAGUACGGUAGAGGGGGAUGGAAUUCCGCGUGUAGCAGUGAAAUGCGUAGAUAUGCGGAGGAACACCGAUGGCGAAGGCAAUCCCCUGGACCUGUACUGACGCUCAUGCACGAAAGCGUGGGGAGCAAACAGGAUUAGAUACCCUGGUAGUCCACGCUCUAAACGAUGUCAACUGGUUGUUGGGUCUUUACUGACUCAGUAACGAAGCUAACGCGUGAAGUUGACCGCCUGGGGAGUACGGCCGCAAGGUUG
RNAcentral lists this ribosomal RNA (370 nucleotides) under uncultured organism. Its description in RNAcentral is "bacterial SSU rRNA". It matches the Rfam family "Bacterial small subunit ribosomal RNA", at positions 526 to 896 of the family's 1533-position model. The record is from RNAcentral.